AGAUGAUUGAAACGGGGUGCUUUGAAGAUAUCAAUGCAUAUGAAACUGAUGGUACUGUGUCACCAGACAGAGAGAGGUCUCCUAAACCAAAGAGAGGCUUCUUUCACAGACUUUUUAGUGGAGAGGUCUGCUUUAAAUCUGAUUGCAGUGAUGAUGAGCAAGAGUCCUCCAGACUUUAAAUCAUUUUACUCUCAUCAGAAAGGAUGAGCAAACUUUAAAUGUUUUAUAUCUCUGUAGCAAAGUGUAUUAUAUAUAUUUUUUACCUGAGUUCAAGGAUUUUUGUACAUUUGUACUUCAUUUGUUUUAAGAUGUAUAUUUUCACUAAAGCUUAAUUGUACAAAAA
Leptosomus discolor (cuckoo roller) is the source of this 343-nucleotide non-coding RNA. Lineage: Eukaryota; Metazoa; Chordata; Aves; Leptosomiformes; Leptosomidae. The record is from RefSeq and is a predicted model, not a curated record.